GCCCCCCUGGCUGAAUGGUAAAGCAGCUGCCUUGUAAGCAGUCGGUUCCGGUUCGAUUCCGGAGGGGGGCU
This 71-nucleotide transfer RNA is filed under the name Chondromyces crocatus. It matches the Rfam family "tRNA". From Rfam's summary of the family: Transfer RNA (tRNA) molecules are approximately 80 nucleotides in length. Their secondary structure includes four short double-helical elements and three loops (D, anti-codon, and T loops). Lineage: Bacteria; Pseudomonadati; Myxococcota; Polyangiales; Polyangiaceae. The record is from Rfam by way of RNAcentral.